CAGGGGGAUGAUAUACAUGCUAAGGUGACAACAACCCAUAUGGCUGCUUUCUAUGACAAAAUAGCAUUGGACGAUACUUACACGGUGUCGAACUUCAAAGUUCAGCCAAAUGUGUCGACUUUCAAACCAUCGUCGCACAAGUUUAUGGUGAAGUUUACCGGAGGAACAUCCGUUGGUGAUGAUGAUAAACAUGAAAUACCACCCAAACCACUAAAUUUUACAAGUUUUUCUGAUAUCAUCACUGGCAGGUUUAAAAAAGAUACAUCAUUGGAAUGGUGGAUAGCAUUGGAUUUUCGGUGGCACAAUCAGGGGCGAAAAAACAAUAAGUUAAUUUAGUGCUACGUGACCACAGCAACAACACCGUGAACUGCACUCUUUGGGAGUCGUAUGCCGACCAAUUCAUCAAGUUCAAUCAGGAUCGGGUGAAUGCGUCUGCACCAACUGUGGUCCUGCUUCAAUAUGCAAAAGUCAAGGAAGAGGGUUAGUUGGUUUAUGUUGUAUUUAAUAGUGCGACACUUUUAACUACUCACACGUAUCUGUCGCUUGAUUAAUGUAGGGAAGUUUCCACUGUCCAUCACAAACACUUACAAUGUUACGAUGCUCUACCUGGAUGCUGAUUUUCUUCCAAUCAAAGAGUUUAUAGACAACAUCCCUAAAGAUUUGGUGGUUAGUGUGUCUGGACAACUAAGUUGUAACUCUCAGCUUACCUCACAAGGCUCUGAAAAUACUCAACAAACUCCUGUUUAGAAGUUGCUCUCUAAGGCUGUUGUUAUGCCUCUCGCUGAGAUUACCAAGCUUACUGACGUAUGGACUACGUUUACAUAUAACUUUUACUUUCUAUUUCUAAAUUGUGUUGCCUAUGGUUUUUACAUAAUUUACAUUUUGUGCUAUUUUCGGUUGAUGCAAAUCACAUUUUGCGCUACUGUUGCCGAAACUAAAAUUUUAGUAGCAUCUCCAUUUGGCUGGUAUUAUCGAGCCUGCCAUUUAUGCCCAAGGGUUGCACGCGGUGACAAACCUCCAUUUCUUUGUGAAGCUGGUCAUUCCUCCGAAGCUGAGAUAUUUAGGUAUAAGAUAGAAAUUAAAGUUUGCUACUCAGGGAAAAGAUGUAACUUUGUUUUCUCGGACAAAGAAUGUGCACAGAUUUUGGAUUUAUCCGCUGCUCAGAUGCGCGACACCAUGAUUCAGGCUGGAAUUCAUGAUCCAUUAGAAUUUCCACUGGCACUCGAUGCGAUGUUGAAUUUGGAGAUGGCAUUUAAAGUUAAGUGGCAUCCGCGUUGGAAAAAUUGCUCUGUUGUCAUGAUCCUAAGAGAUGACCCCUUCAUCAAACAACUUAAGGCCCCUUGGGAACUUCCCUUGCAGGUGUAAUUCAUAAGCACACACUUAGUAUUUUAUUAUUUCUUAAUUUUCUGUUACAAAGAUUGUACUGAUCCUACUAUGAUCACAACAAGAAGGCAGCAGGAAAUGUCUCGUCUAAAACAUCGAAGUUGCUGCAGGUUUUUUUCCUCGCUCCACAAUUUACAUAGUCUUUUACUUUUAUUCGGUUAAUUUGUACGGAUGGAUCAAGUGAAUCAACAACUUUUGAAGGAUUGUCUGAAGGAGAACUCUCAUCGAACAAGCUUAAGAAGAUCAUCAAAAUGGAGAAGAAGGAUUAGUUGUAGCUAUACUUUGUUUAUCGUCUUGAAUCCUAAUCUGUUUGUUUCAUUGUUGCAUUUUAUUUUUUAAUCGACUAUAACUACUUUAGCAUUUGCGGUUGAAGUUUAUCAAUAUGCACUAUUUAUUCAUAAUGGAUUAUAUUUUUUUAAUGCUAAAGCCAACUUUAUAUUACAAUACAUGCUAAUACAAACAUCGACAUACAUGCUACUAAACAAAAACAACAAAGAACAGAAUACUGGGAUGUGCUAGAACUGGAACAAUACCAUUUGGCACAGGCCAAAUAAAUUGAAAACUGCAGCAGGAAAGUUCCACCGAAUACUGGCAUGUGCUGGAACAACAACAUUCUUAAUAUUUUACAUAUAUAAUUGAAUUAUUAUUAUGUAUGGCCUAAUAGUCACAUGCAUCUAUGUUUUGGUUUUGGUUGAUCAUAAACCUGAGUUAGUGACUGACUUGCAAAUAUAUAUUUUGGUUUUGUGCUGAUGGUGUACACAUAAUUAGUCAAAAAUCACAAGUUAGUUUCUGUAACACCGGACUCUUCAAUCUCAAAUGAGGAGGUUUGCUCAGAAGUUUAAACAUUUCUUAACUAAUCAAUUGAGUUUGGCUUGACCUUUUCCAUACAACUGUUAUUUACCCCAUUUUUAAUCUUCAUGUUAUGUAGAUUCCGAAACUAUAUAAAUUACCUAAAUUCAGUCCAAUUAAAUCUGGCUGCUGUAGACCGCCUUAUGAGUAUGUUCUUCUUUGUUUUUGAAGAAUUUCUUUAUCUAUAAUAUCUGGUGAACCGAUAUAGGUUGCAGAUUUUGGAUUGACUAAGCUUAGUGAUGUUGUAAGUUCAACGGAUAGCAUUAUUCAUGUGGCAGAUCCAUUUGGUUACAUGCCGCCGAAGUUAUUGACAAAUUCUGCUUAUUUUUUUGUGGUUGAUGAUUAAUUAGAAGUUUUGAAACUGUAAAGUUUGUCCAGUGAGUUUAAUUUUACCAUUCACUUUUGUGUAGAAAUGCUUAUGGAUGUAUUUCAGAAAAAUAGUUAAUUCAUUGCUAAUCACACUUCUGUUAUGUAGAUUUGAUUAGUGGUAAUGUAUUGUUUUCUACAGUUGAAUGAGGUUUUGGUUCCUAAUCCAUUCAAUAGGCUUCGUGCUGAGUUUCUGUUGGAAGUGAAUGGAAUCAAAGGAUUCUAUCCUAGAUGUUGACAUUUAAUAUGAUGGUUUCUUUUUCAAGAGCAUUUUUUUGUUGACAUUUGAAAGGAGUUCGUAGUUGCUAUGAUGAGGGGAAACAUGUGGCUGAGACUUUGAUGUUUGAUUAUCAGAGACAACAAGGAAUAAGUGAUUCCCGGUCUUCUGUUCCUCUUAAUUUCCUCUCAUUCUCUGUUAGGUGUAGCCUGUCACAUGGCUGAAAUUAUGACAUAUAAGAUGAGAUUAAUAUGUAUGAUUACAAUGUAAAAUCAUAAAUCCUAACUUAAAGAGCUCUAUCUUUCAUUAGUCAGUUUUAAUCACUGUAGCGUAUUAAACGAGAAAUACUUCUUGACUACCGCAGUGCUUUUUCAUGGGAUGAAAUAUGAACACUAUUUCAUUCUUUAUCAUUUCAAUGAACAAGGGAUACUUCUUGACUACCGCAGUGCUUUACUUUUGACUUGCUUUUCAGUUCUUCCACAUUAGUUGAAAGAGAACAAUUGGAGAUUCCAGACUCAUGAUAUAUUUUUAGUAUAUUUUUGUCUUGCUUCUGUUCUAAGUCAAGAUAGGCAAUGGUAGAUGUAAACUUCUGCAAAGUAUCUUUUUAGCUUGCAAAGUGUCUUUUUAGCUUGCUGUUUUUCUAGCAUCCGUAUGUCAUAUUCUGUUGGUGGUAUCGGAGGGAGUUGAUGACGAUAGCCUGCGGCAGUUGUCAUUUGAAGUUUCCUCCAAUGAAAUAAUGCACUGUGUGAGGAGCCCUACUAAAUUUACAAAUGUAAUUCUCACUUGCAAAUGGCUAUGCUCACAGUAUGAUAUCACCGAGCCAAGCUUUUUCAAGAGGCAAAGCAGUUGGUCAAGGGUUUUCUUCAUUUCAUAUCUUUAGUAUUCUAUGUUAACUUUUGGUUUGUCUUCAACUUUGGUUUGUCUAGCAAAAGACACUGGAAGUAGCAAUGAAUUAUAUAAACAACUCACUGGCAGAUGGCACAACUUGCAUAGAAUGUAAUAAAUCGAGAUCCAAAAAGACGUCCAAGGGUGAGAGUUGUUGUAGUUUCACUUAUGAAACUAAAUUAUAUUAUUCAUGAUGGAAGAACGUGGUAAUGUGUUGUUUAAGAGAGGUGAGUGGAAAGUUGUGACGACUGAACACAGACGACCUGACUCGGUGCUUGCGGAUUUGGCAGAAUCAGUAUUAGUUGAGGUGUACUUUGAAUCAGAUGAUGUUCAAGCUGCUAUUGUUACAUGUGGAGGUCUAUGCUCUGGACUCAACACUGUGAUAAGAAAAUUAGUUGGUGGCUUACGCCAUAUGUAUGAACUUACUCGAGUUCUCAGAAUUGAGGUACAUCGAUAUUUAUGAUAUUAAGCCUAAACCCUUUGAGGUUCAUCCGGUUCAGCACUUACACAUUUUGGUUCAGCAUUUGUGAAGUAAACUAAAUUAACCAGAUAUCGACGAAAAGCAACUCUUUGAUUGAAUCGACAACGACAAUUGAACACCAUCAAGAGGCAGAAGAAAAUGGCUGACGUAUUUUGGUUAGCUCUCAUAUAGAAUGUGACAUAUCAUAAAAUGGGCUAUGUUCUGUUAUGAUGUAAAGAUUCCUAACUAUACAUUAUACGAAAUUCAGAUAAAACAACAUGCUCUCUCUCUCUCUCUUCUCUUUUUCAAUCAUGUUUACAUUCAAUGCUUCCCUAUACUCACCAUCCAUUCAAAACUCAACCUUUUUUAGUAGUUAAAACACAUAGGUAGCACCCCUCAAAACUAUAAUAAUAGAUCACACUUCAAGACAUGUAAGCAUCCACUCUUCUGUAAUGAGAGCUUACAUAUUGUAACCU
Vicia villosa (hairy vetch) is the source of this 4636-nucleotide long non-coding RNA. RefSeq lists it as uncharacterized. The record is from RefSeq and is a predicted model, not a curated record. Lineage: Eukaryota; Viridiplantae; Streptophyta; Magnoliopsida; Fabales; Fabaceae. The transcript has 8 exons.